This is a long non-coding RNA of Meriones unguiculatus (Mongolian gerbil), 488 nucleotides long. RefSeq lists it as uncharacterized. The record is from RefSeq and is a predicted model, not a curated record. The transcript has 2 exons. Lineage: Eukaryota; Metazoa; Chordata; Mammalia; Rodentia; Muridae.
UUUGGAUCAAGAUGUAGGACUCUCAGCUCCGUUCCCAGCAAAAUGUCUGCCUCUGAACUGGGAAGCCAGCUGACAUGCUUUGAGACAUUGAAGUGGUCUCGUGGACAAUCCUAUGGUGAAGGGAUGAUGACUAAAUGCUCCUGCCACAAGCAAAGCUGACCUGCCAUAUUGGAAGAGACCCAUGGACUCCAGUCAAGACUUAAGAUGACUGUAGCCCCAGCAAACUUAUAAAAGACUCCAAGCUGGAGCCAUCCAGUCAAGACAUUCCUGACAGACAGAAACUGCGAGAGUUAUUUGUUUGUGUAUUUAUAUACUUAUUUGUUUUGUUUUUUAAUUUUUGAAUGCUGAAGCUCAAACUCAUCAUCUUGUGCAAGUUACUCUACACUGACUUACAGCCAGUCUCUACAUCUACUACUGUUUCUGUUUUUUGAUACUGUUUGUUACACAGCAGUAGCUGACUAAUACAGAGAGCUUUGGGGAGGAUAAGA